Molecule: ribosomal RNA, 467 nt
Filed under: uncultured bacterium
Lineage: Bacteria
Description: partial 16S ribosomal RNA
Rfam family: Bacterial small subunit ribosomal RNA
Source: RNAcentral
GAUGAACGCUGGCGGCGUGCUUAACACAUGCAAGUCGAACGGUGAAGCAGAGCUUGCUCUGUGGAUCAGUGGCGAACGGGUGAGUAACACGUGAGCAACCUGCCCCCGACUCUGGGAUAAGCGCUGGAAACGGCGUCUAAUACUGGAUAUGAGCUGCGACCGCAUGGUCAGCAGUUGGAAAGAUUUUUCGGUCUGGGAUGGGCUCACGGCCUAUCAGCUUGUUGGUGAGGUAAUGGCUCACCAAGGCGUCGACGGGUAGCCGGCCUGAGAGGGUGACCGGCCACACUGGGACUGAGACACGGCCCAGACUCCUACGGGUGGCAGCAGUGGGGAAUAUUGCACAAUGGGCGAAAGCCUGAUGCAGCAACGCCGCGUGAGGGAUGACGGCCUUCGGGUUGUAAACCUCUUUUAGCAGGGAAGAAGCGAAAGUGACGGUACCUGCAGAAAAAGCGCCGGCUAACUACGUG